RNAcentral lists this long non-coding RNA (330 nucleotides) under Bos grunniens (domestic yak). RNAcentral describes it as "lncRNA (ENSBGRG00000000188.1)". The record is from RNAcentral. Lineage: Eukaryota; Metazoa; Chordata; Mammalia; Artiodactyla; Bovidae.
AACACUGCUGCUUAUUAGUUUGACUUGGAUGGUUCCUAGCUCUAUAUGAAAAUAUUCACUGAGCCUGAAUCUCUGAGACUCUGUCUUUGCCUUCCAGGUUUUAAGAUGCUGAGUCGAGGAGUCUUAGCUCCUGGAGGAGACUAUGGAGAGCCUCUGGUUUCCAGUCCCUGCAGGGGCCAAAAGCAGCGCCCCUUUCUCCAGCCCUGGAAUCUAGACCAGCUUUGCGACUGUCCUUGACUAAGGGAGUAUGGCAGAGGUAAAUGCUUUCAGAUAUGAGCCUCCGUUCCAAGAGACCGACAGCUUCUGCCUUGCUCACUGAAGAGAAGCCAG